Molecule: non-coding RNA, 1903 nt
Organism: Callorhinus ursinus (northern fur seal)
Lineage: Eukaryota; Metazoa; Chordata; Mammalia; Carnivora; Otariidae
Source: RefSeq, a predicted model, not a curated record
GGACCCCGGCCCGGCCCUUGCCAUGGCGCCGCCUCCGGCCCCGCUGCCCGCGUGGGAACCGGACGGCGCGGGGCGCGAGCGGAGGGGGCCGGGCGGCGUGAGCUUCGCGGACGUGGCCGUGUACUUCUCCCCCGAGGAGUGGGGCUGUCUGCGGCCCGCGCAGAGGGCCCUGUACCGGGACGUGAUGCGGGAGACCUACGGCCACCUGGGCGCGCUCGGGUUCCGAGGCGCCAAGCCAGCUCUCAUUUCCUGGGUGGAGGAAGAGGCGGACCUGUGGGGCCCGGCUGCCCGGGAUCCGGAGGUGGGAGAGUGUCUGACAGAAGCAGACGCAGCAGAUUCCAGAAACAAGGAAGAGAAAAAACAAAGAGAAGGGACUGAGGCCCUGAAGAAGAGCCUUUCUGUGGAAGCUCCUGGGCCAAAGGCUCCAACACACCCUUCUGCUGGGUUCCCUGACAGCUUGGAGCAGCCGUCCAAGGCACCUCGCCGGGGUCGCCCCCCACUCUGUACGCAUCCCCCUGUCCCAAGAGCCGACCAGCGUCAUGGUUGCUACAUGUGCGGGAAGAGUUUUGCUUGGCGCUCCACCCUAGUGGAGCACCUGUACACCCACACGGGGGAGAAGCCCUUCCGUUGCCCUGACUGUGGCAAGGGCUUCAGCCAGGCCUCCUCUCUGAGCAAGCACCGGGCCAUCCACCGUGGGGAGCGGCCCCACCGCUGCCUGGACUGUGGCCGGGCCUUCACCCAGCGCUCUGCCCUCACCACUCACCUGCGGGUCCACACGGGCGAGAAGCCCUAUGGCUGUGCUGACUGUGGCCGCUGCUUUAGCCAGAGCUCUGCCCUCUACCAGCACCAGCGGGUCCACAGUGGCGAGACUCCCUUCCCCUGCCCGGACUGUGGCCGUGCCUUUGCCCAUGCGUCAGACCUUCGGCGCCACAUACGCACCCACACGGGCGAGAAGCCCUACCCGUGCCCAGACUGUGGGCGCUGUUUCCGACAGAGCUCCGAAAUGGCAGCCCAUCGGCGUACCCACAGCGGUGAACGCCCCUACCCCUGUCCUCAGUGUGGCAGGUGCUUUGGCCAGAAGUCAGCCAUGGCCAAGCACCAGUGGGUUCAUAGGCCUGGUGCCGGGGGGCCCAGGGGCCGGGGUGCCAGUGCGUUGCCUGUGCCUCUGGCCCCUGGCCAAGGGGACCUGGACCCACCUGUGGGCUUCCAGCACUACCCAGAAAUAAUCCAGGAGUGUGGGUGAUGGUCCUAAAGAUGUCAAGGCAAAGGGUGAAGAUCUAGACAUUGCCUGAGGCCCAGGUUGGGCUCAGGGGCCUGAACCUCUGUGGCAGCUCCAGGGAGGUCCCACAAUUCCAGGCAAGAGGUGGACCUGGGGGAUGAGGAACUUCUUACCUUAGGCCUUCACAAGCUUGAUCUGCUGACACCUUGCUCCCUACUGUCCCAGACUCUAGAAGCCCCCUCUGCUCCGUUAGGGCUGAGGGAAAGAGCAGUUCACGCAGGAGUCGCCCUCAUACUGAGGGCCUUUGCUCAAGUGUUGGCCAAGUUGGCUGGACUGUAAGUGUUGGCUGCACACUGAAUAUCUCUGCCCCAGCUCUGCCACACACCGGUAAAGAUCCUAUGGACAAAGUGGCUGCCCAACUCAGGACACAAACACAGCUCCUCCUCACCAGGACACAGUGGUAGAAUAAGGAGAAUGGAAGAUGCCAUCUUUCCUCCUAAACCAGUUUCUUCCCUUCAUUUGUCUGAGAAGGCAACGAGAUAACACAAUCAUGGCUCCUGCAUCACUCACACAGGGAGAAUUUGGCUCAUCAAUUGUCAAGAACGCUACCAAAAUACUUUCAGCAGCAAGGGUAAAAAAGGGAACAAGAAUUGUCUUUCCAGAUUCACUUUUCCCUUGAUUGAA